AAGAACAUUUUACAAGAUCUUCACUCAAGAGGUAAGGUUUUAACCCUAGUCUUUAAUUUUGAGUUUGGGGUAAAAGAUGGGUGAUUGGGAGUAUAAUUCUUGGGUGUGAGAGUAUUAUGUAUACAUGCAUCUACCAAUAAGGUUUAUGGGAAGAUUGUUGAGGCCAAAUGGGUAAAGAUUGGGUUCUGAAGUGAAAGAAAUCUUAUGGAGGAACCUUGUAACCAAUUUGCACAUCUAAGUGUGUGAUAAAAUGCUCAAAUGAGCUAAAACCAUGAAUCUCUCCCUAAUUAUGAUUCAAUUUUAAUAUAUCUCUAGUUGAUUGGAAUUGCUAGAAUUGUUGGCUAAAUCCUCUCUUAGAAUUGAAUCACACGGUAUUCAUGUAAUUUAUGUAAGUCCCGAGUUGUUCAUUAUAAAAAUGGUCAUUCCGAAUAAGCUUGUGUUGAAAUAUAUAUGUUCAAUAUGUAUCCGAAAGGAUUUUAUCAUGUUAUGUUAUCAUUUGAGAAUGUGUUCAAAGUAUGGGCUGUACAUUAAAAAUGUUUCGAUCUCAAGUCAAGUUCAAACGAAGGCUAUUAUGCAAAAUUUUGUGAAAUAUCUCUAUGUGCCUAAGACUCUUAAUUGCUCAUAUAUGUACUAAAAACCUUGAUUUGAAAUGCCUUGUUGUUGAUGAUGAUUGUUAGAAAAGGAUGAUGUCGAUCCACACAUCAUUGUGGUGAGACGGCCUAGCUGAUCGGGUUGUGAUCGGAUGCCAUGCCGCACACAUGGUGGUGAUUGUGCUGGAAAUUGUAAUUGAAAUUGUGAUUGUGGUUGAUGUCUCAGAUGAGACGACCUAGCUGAUGGGGUCGUGAUCGGACUCCGUGCUAAAAGUACAGUGGUAUUGUGAACGGUGGCAUAUUGGUACUAAAUAUCUCCCAACUUAAGAUAUGGAAAUUUAUUUGAACAUUGUCUUGUUCCUAACUUGAGGUUUGAUGUUGUUUGAGGUUUCUACUGGUAUUAUGAUUGCUCUUGCUUGUAUUAUUAACCAUUCUAUGAAAGGGUGUUUGUCAUUCCUACUAGUACAAUUCCAUAUGUACUAACGUCCUAUUUUUCGGGGGCGUUGCAUCUUCAAUGGAUGCAAGUGGUUCCACAGCAGGAGGCAUUGAUCAGUGAUAGCGGUACACCCUCUUCCUAGCUGACUUGGUGAGCCCCACUUCAUUUCGGGGUCAUGUAUCUUUUGUUCCUUGUGUAUUGUGUUUGAGGUAUAGCCGGGGCCUUGUUGCCGGCACUAUCAUAGUACUCUUUUGUGUCUAUUAGAAUCUUUGUAGACAUAGUGUGGAUUGUAUAUUAGUUCUAGGGAAGUCAAACAAGAUAUGUUGUACUUGAAUUACUCGUUCCACUUCAGCCCACGAAAAUAUGUGUAAUUUGAGAGUUUAAAAUGAAGUAAUUAAU
This 1425-nucleotide long non-coding RNA is filed under the name Nicotiana tabacum (common tobacco). RNAcentral's name for it is "long non-coding RNA (NTAB_LNC015387)". Lineage: Eukaryota; Viridiplantae; Streptophyta; Magnoliopsida; Solanales; Solanaceae. The record is from RNAcentral.